Molecule: long non-coding RNA, 699 nt
Organism: Hypanus sabinus (Atlantic stingray)
Lineage: Eukaryota; Metazoa; Chordata; Chondrichthyes; Myliobatiformes; Dasyatidae
Exons: 5
Source: RefSeq, a predicted model, not a curated record
UACUGGAUUUGAACUUUGAACCGCUUGUACUACAUGGCAGUUUUUUCAGUGUGAACUGAAGCCUCGAAGACGCAGGACAGUUGUGUGGUGUUGUGUACAGGCUGAAUUGAGGUGGCGGGGCUCAGGCCUGAGCCAAUGUUCCACCAUUGCUGGAGCGGACUUGGAGGUUCCAAUUCAAAGUGGCAGAACGAGGGCAAGGCAGAGUCAAGGUGGCGAGGCCUGGGCCCGUGAGCCGAUGUUUGACCGAUUUAACUGCUGGGCCAGAUUGGAAAGACCAGCAAAAUCCAUCCGAGUUCUCCCAAGUGCAACUGCCUACUAUUCACAAAUUCCACAGAUGUUGAUCUACAGGCAAGGGAGUUUCAGUUUGGACAGGGGUGCUAGAUUCGAGUAGGUUAUCCUUGAAAUGCAUCAGAAGUCCUGCGAGGAUCAAAGCUCAGAGGGCUGAUAGAGUUGGUACAGACUGGGUGAAGUCAGCGAUGAACAGAUAUUUUGAUUGCAAAGUACUGCAGAUUACGUGCAUUGUCCACACACUGUGAGAGUAUAACUUCCCGGGAAAUCAUGAACUCAGAGCAUGACAUUGCAGAUUGGGAUCCCUUGGUGCACUACCAUACACUGAUCCAAUCCAGGGAUGUGACUGAAAAGCAAAUAAAAAACAUGCCAGUGCUGGAAAUCUGAAGUAAGAACAAAACUACUCUAAAU